CGGAUGUAGCUCAGUGGUAGAGCGCAACCUUGCCAAGGUUGAUGUCGUGGGUUCGAGUCCCAUCAUCCG
Molecule: transfer RNA, 69 nt
Filed under: uncultured Akkermansia sp.
Lineage: Bacteria; Pseudomonadati; Verrucomicrobiota; Verrucomicrobiia; Verrucomicrobiales; Akkermansiaceae
Rfam family: tRNA
About the family: Transfer RNA (tRNA) molecules are approximately 80 nucleotides in length. Their secondary structure includes four short double-helical elements and three loops (D, anti-codon, and T loops).
Source: RNAcentral